Molecule: long non-coding RNA, 1375 nt
Organism: Zingiber officinale
Lineage: Eukaryota; Viridiplantae; Streptophyta; Magnoliopsida; Zingiberales; Zingiberaceae
Exons: 3
Source: RefSeq, a predicted model, not a curated record
CCCUCUCCUCCUCCCCUCUCAUGAACCCGAGCUUUCCUCUUCCCCUCCCUCGCGCGCUGGCUCUUCCCUUCUUCCGAUCUCGCGGCAGUGCCCCAUGCCGCCGCUGCCCGAGCCUUCGUUCCCUGUUCCUCUUUUUUUAGCUCCGACGAUCCUUUUCUUCUUCAUCGAGCUCGCGCCGCUGCUUCUUCUACUCUUUUGUUUUCUUCCUCCGAUCGCCGAGCAGAGCCGCAUUCUCCUUGCCCUAGCACCGAGCGCUUGGCACUAUUCGAGGCGAAGCCGCCAGUUUCCAACCUCUCGAUCAAGGUGAAGAUCCGAGCAGAGGUUCGCUGGUUUUGGUUGCUGCCGAACCUUCCUCCUCUUCUCCUCUUCCGAGUUCUCCUUACUCCCGACGCAACUUCCUCUCGCCGCAACCGAUUGCCAGCCAAAUCACGCCGGCUGUUUUCCCUCUGCCCUAGCGUCGACCAAGUUUUUUCUUCCCCUUUUCUCUUUCGUCGCAACAUCGCCGCCGACGCCGAUCCUUCUCCCGACCUCUUCUUCACGUCACCCACAGUCGACGCUGUCGCACGGAGCAGCACUGACGACGAGGACUUUCCUCUUCCCCUCUGCCCUAGCGUCAGCAGCCUAAGAUUUCCUCCAACCGAUUGCUUCGCCUGAGCCAUAGUUUUCCAGAUGCUAUUUUCUUCUUCUGUCGGCUUUGCCCCAAUGCCUACUGCUUGAUGCCACAAUCCAGCAGCCACCUCCUGUGCCAUGGCGUCAAUCCACAUCUCGAAAAGGCAACGGCUUCACUUGGUCUCGACUACUGCCUGCGGUAGUGAGUUGCUCCGACCAUGAGUAGUGCGUUGGAUUUGGAGAUACCAAGUAGAUACUUUUGGAGUCGCAUGGAGUAUCCUGUCUGCCAAUUCCCAUGUCACAUCCAAAGACCUGUUUCGGGUUUUCAUUUGUUCUUUAUUUGGUCUACGUCUUUGGUUUACUUAGAAAUGUAAAAUUUCGGUUUUGGUUCCGGAGUGCUGUGAUGUGGUGUUUUGUAUUGUUUGUUGUGUUGUGUAAGCCUAGCCGGCUAGCGGUCCUUGUUUUUGGUUGUGAUGGUUUCUAUCGUAUUUCCGUUGUGUUUCUUCUUUUUAGUACAACCGAGUGGGCUGUUAGAUAUAUAUAUAAUUGCGUGGUUGUAUUUUAGUUGUUACAGCUGAGUGAGCUGAAUAUAAACUGCAUGGUUGUGUAUAUAUUCUAGCCGUAUGUGGCUGAUAUAUAUCUGUGGAUGUACAAAUGAUUCAGAUUGUCACAAGUACAGGGGAGAUGCUGCUGGAUUUUUCCUCUAGCUAGGACUCCUCGGGGCGUGACAAUUUAUUUGGUAUCAGAGCCACAGGUUUACGAGGCC